GUACUUGCUUCGGCAGUACACAUACUAAAAUUGGAACGAUACAGAGAAUAUUAGCAUGGCCCCUGCGCAAGGAUGACACGCAAAAUCGUGAAGCGUUCCACAUUUUG
RNAcentral lists this small nuclear RNA (107 nucleotides) under Bombus impatiens (common eastern bumble bee). Lineage: Eukaryota; Metazoa; Arthropoda; Insecta; Hymenoptera; Apidae. The record is from RNAcentral.